AGGGGAGCUUCCCAUACGGGUUGAAGCAUGACCGUAAGGACAUGUGGACAGUAUGGGAGUGAGAAUGUUGGCAUGAGUAGCGAGAUGUGGGUGAGAAUCCCACAGGCCGUAAACCCAAGGUUUCCAGGGGAAGGUUCGUCCGCCCUGGGUUAGUCGGAACCUAAGCUGAGGCCGAAAGGCGUAGGUGAUGGACAACAGGUUGAUAUUCCUGUACUACCGAUAACCAUUUGAGAGAAGGGAUGACACAGUAGGAUAAGCUAAGCACACUGUUGGUUAUGUGUGCCCAAGCAUUGAGGCAGUCAAAGUAGGCAAAUCCGCUUUGAUAAUGCUGGGAUGUGAUGGGGAGCGAAAUUUAGUAGCGAAGUAGCUGAUUUCACACUGUCAAGAAAAGUCUCUAUCGAGGUUAAAGGUACC
This 414-nucleotide ribosomal RNA is filed under the name Clostridioides difficile. RNAcentral describes it as "partial 23S ribosomal RNA". It matches the Rfam family "Bacterial large subunit ribosomal RNA", at positions 1230 to 1642 of the family's 2925-position model. Lineage: Bacteria; Bacillati; Bacillota; Clostridia; Peptostreptococcales; Peptostreptococcaceae. The record is from RNAcentral.